UCACAGUAGAGCAGCAAAGUAACGGUGCCGCAAGACAAUUACUGCCUCUUUUCUUACAGAUAUAUUCACAUUGCUGCAGAUUAAUGAGGUAAUAUGUGUCAAGUCCCUUCCAGCUUGAGAUAUUCUACGAUUUUACAGAUUAUAUAACAGCUCUCAAGAGGAAGCUGCUAACAAGCCCAUCUGAUAUUCUGUGCCAGCUUUUUUAGUGGAGGCGUGCUGCAUUAGACUGAGCUCCACCCUGUUUGUCGAGCAAAGCGUUUGGAAAAUGACACAGCCUGAAGAAAAACGGGAAUUCAAAAUCUGGCUCCAGAUUUCCUUGUGAACCAGUCUGCUCCUCCGCAUCUCUAGAAAGGGACAGUGGGAGUGUGUUUUCAUGCAGAUGCUGAGUAAUCUCCCAGUAGCAUAGAGGACAUUGCAAAGAUUUGGAGUUUUGUGCAGUGUUUCUGCCUCUUGGUGUGGACAUGUGAGACCUUGGGGAGAAGAGUCCAGUGGAACUGAGCAACUGAUGUAGGUGACAGCCUGCAUCAGGUAUAGAAGAGGACAUCAGUGUACAGCCUAACAGCAUUUGAACGCUCAAUCCCAGUGAUUUUCUCAUAGGAAAUUAUUCUGGAGUGGCUCCUGCUGAUACAUUGUCCUGGAUUAAUUUCCUACACAGAUUCUCAGGUGAGGACUUCUCGCCUCUGCUGUAUUAGUGGCUUCAUUGUUCCUGACUAAGCUGUUUGGAUGCAGAAGGCAAGCAGGAUCAGGUUCUCUGUGCAGGAAACUUUGUGAUGCCAUGUUUUGACUCCUAUGUAGAAUGAAGACUUGUUUGAAAACGUGGGAAUUUCCUCCCCACAGAAUACAAUGUCCAAGUUUUUAUCAGCUGUUGCAGAACUGUGGUACUCUCUGGCAAUGGAGACUUUAUGCCAGCUCAAUACCUCAAGGGCAAGAGAAAGACGUCAUCAAGUUAUGCAAGCAGACCAUCUCACAGCUUCUCCUGUAAGCUUGGUCUUAUUUGACAAAUGAUUGCAUUUUUCAAAUUUGGGGUCUUUUUCCUUUCCUAAGGCAAGUUAAUGAGCAUGCAAUUAUUUAUCUUGUCAUGGUAUCUCAAGUGGAAACAAGGUGGCUGAAAUACCUGCAAGUAGUCAGAAUUAUGCCCUAGUCUUGUGUUGACCUCCUUUAAAUUACUUCUAAGUGUUCAGCAAUAGAUUAACUGAUGUGAGCCUUUUAUUCUGUAAUAGGAGCAUGCUUCUUAUUGUCAGUUAAGACAAUCUUAAGAACAAUGAGUUGUGUCACUCCCCUUAUGCUCAGAGAAGGCUUGAGGUAGUGAUCUGAGUAGUUUUGGCAUUCCAAAAUUUAAUUUUUUUUUAAUCUGAAGUUGGAUUGAGAAUAGCAUUUGAGUGUGAUUUUUUUCGUGUGCUUAAGUGUGUCUGAGGUUGGGACUGGAAGGUAUUAGCUAAUACCUAUGAAACACCUGUAGCAGCAACUAAAGGACAUGUGGAACUUAUUCCUUUACUGAGUCUGUGCUGAAGCACUUUUGCUGUGAGACUGAAGGUGACAUACUUACCCUUCCUAGUUCUCCAACCAUAGAAUUUGCCAUCGUUUUUCCAAACUUCACAGCACUGAUUCUGAAGAACUUCUCAUUAAACCAGCUGCACCCAA
This is a long non-coding RNA of Calidris pugnax (ruff), 1641 nucleotides long. RefSeq lists it as uncharacterized. The transcript has 7 exons. The record is from RefSeq and is a predicted model, not a curated record. Lineage: Eukaryota; Metazoa; Chordata; Aves; Charadriiformes; Scolopacidae.